AUAAGGCAGUAGAUGAGGUUAAGGGUUCCUGUGGUGGUUUAUUUGGGACACUGAUUACUCACAGUAAAAUGUCUACAAAUCUUUGAAUGUAGAUAGAACAUGGUGAGUCUAAACAUGGUGAGACUGGGCAUGAUUCAGAAAAGUUGGAAGAUCUAGAGAGGGAUCUUGCAAUCUGAAGUUUCUUGUUUAGUCACUGGAGGAUCUGAACGUCUAUGACACUCUUUCGAGCUGACACAGUGAAGAACAUGGAAGGAGAACUCACCCAGUCUGCCAGGGUCACAGAUGAUCAUACUCAAGAUCUUCCUGGGGAGUCAAUGGCAAAUUUCACUGGG
RNAcentral lists this small RNA (332 nucleotides) under Pan troglodytes (chimpanzee). RNAcentral's name for it is "processed transcript". Lineage: Eukaryota; Metazoa; Chordata; Mammalia; Primates; Hominidae. The record is from RNAcentral.